UNGAACGGGUACAUGNAGUGCUUGCACUUGCAUGCACGCAGUGGCGGACGGGCUGAGUUAAAGUAUGGGGCAUCUGCCGAAUGGAGGGGGACAACAGUUGGAAACGACUGCUAAUACCGCAUAAAGUUGANAGACCAAAGCAUGGGACUUACGGGCCAUGCGCCAUUCGAUGAACCCAUAUGGGAUUAGCUAGAUUGGUAGGGUAAUGGCUUACCAAGGCGACGAUCUCUAGCUGGUCUGAGAGGAUGACCAGCCACACUGGAACUGAGACACGGUCCAGACUCCUACGGGAGGCAGCAGUGGGGAAUAUUGCACAAUGGGGGGAACCCUGAUGCAGCCAUGCCGCGUGUAUGAAGAAGGCCUUCGGGUUGUAAAGUACUUUCGGUGAUGANGAAGGUGAUGUAUCUAAUAGGUGCAUCAAUUGACGUUAAUUACAGAAGAAGCACCGGCUAACUCCGUGCCANCAGCCGCGGUAAUACNGAGGGUGCGAGCGUUAAUCNGAAUGACUGGGCGUAAAGGGCAUGUANGCGGAUAAUUAAGUUAGGUGUGAAAGCCCUGGGCUCAACCUANGAAUUGCACUUAAAACUGGUUAACUAGAGU
RNAcentral lists this ribosomal RNA (600 nucleotides) under Gilliamella apicola. Its description in RNAcentral is "bacterial SSU rRNA". It matches the Rfam family "Bacterial small subunit ribosomal RNA", at positions 62 to 647 of the family's 1533-position model. Lineage: Bacteria; Pseudomonadati; Pseudomonadota; Gammaproteobacteria; Orbales; Orbaceae. The record is from RNAcentral.